GUGCAGUGUAAUGAUAUCUCAUCGAGCACAUUCUUCUGAUGUAGUUGUUAAAAAAACUAUAAAUCCCAUGGUCAAGACCAAAACUAGACAAAUACAGUAUGGUCAUCAGUGACAGUGUAUUACAUAGUGGAGAGAUAGCGGCAGACAGAGAGAGAGUUAGAGAGAGAGGCAGACAGAGAGAGAGAGAGAGAGAGAGAGAGAGAGAUAGAGGCAGACAGAGAGAGAUAGAGAGAGAGAGAGAGAGAGAGACAGACAGAGAGAGAGAGAGAGAUAGAGGCAGACAGAGAGAGAGCGAGAGAGAGACAGAGAGACAGAGAGAGAGAGAGAUAGAGGCAGACAGAGAGAGAUAGAGAGAGAGAGAGAGAGAGAGAGAGACAGACAGAGAGAGAGAGAGAUAGAGGCAGACAGAGAGAGAGCGAGAGAGAGAGAGAGAGAGAAAGACAGAGAGAGAGAGAGAUAGAGGCAGACAGAGAGAGAUAGAGAGAGAGAGAGACAGACAGACAGAGAGAGAGAGAGAGAUAGAGGCAGACAAAGAGAGAGAGCGAGAGAGAGGCAGACAGAGAGAGAUAGAGGCAGACAGAGAGAGAGAGAGACAGAGAGAGAGAGAGAUAGAGGCAGACAGAGAGAGAUAGAGAGAGAGAGCGAGAGAGAUAGAGGCAGACAGAGAGGGAGAGAGAGAUAGAUAGAGAGAGAGAGAGAGAGAGGCAGACAGAGAGAUAGAUAGAGAGAGAGAGAUAGAGGCAGAGAGAGAGAGAGAGAGAGAUAGAGGCAGACAGAGAGAGAGAUAGAUAGAGAGAGAGAGGCAGACAGAGAGAGAUAGAGGCAGACAGAGAGAGAUAGAGAUAGACAGACAGAGAGAGAGAUAGAGGCACAGAGAGAGAGAGAGAGAGGCAGAGAGAGAGAGAGAUAGAGGCAGACAGAGAGAUAGAUAGAGAGAGAGAAAGAUAGAGGCAGACAGAGAGAGAGAGAGACAAGCAGACAGAGAGAGAGAGAGAGGCAGACAUAGAGAGAUAGAGGCAGACAGAUAGAGGCAGACAGAGAGAGAGAGAGAUAGAUAGAGAGAGAUAGAGGCAGACAGAGAGAGAUAGAGGCAGACAGAUAGAGGCACACAGAGAGAGAGAGAUAGGCAGACAGAGAGAGAUAGAGAGGCAGACAGAGAGAGAGAGAGAGAGAUAGAGGCAGAGAGAGAGAUAGAUAGAGAGAGAGAGAGAGGCAGACAGAGAGAGAGAUGGAUAGAGAUAGA
This is a long non-coding RNA of Clupea harengus (Atlantic herring), 1243 nucleotides long. The record is from Ensembl. NCBI's taxonomy places the organism in Eukaryota, Metazoa, Chordata, Actinopteri, Clupeiformes, Clupeidae.